GGUCGGGGACAACAGAGGGAAACCUCUGCUAAAACCGGAUGUGCUGAGAAGUGAAAGAUUUAUUGCCUGAAGAGGAGCUCGCGUCUGAAUAGCUAGUUGGUGGGGUAAAGGCCUACCAAGGCAUCGAUCAGUAGCUGGUCUGAGAGGAUGAGCAGCCACACUGGGACUGAGACACGGCCCAGACUCCUACGGGAGACAGCAGUGGGGAAUUUUCCGCAAUGGGCGAAAGCCUGACGGAGCAAUAGCGCGUGAGGGAGGAAGGCUCUUGGGUUGUAAACCUCUUUUCUUAGGGAAGAACAAAAUGACGGUACCUAAGGAAUAAGCAUCGGCUAACUCCGUGCCAGCAGCCGCGGUAAUACGGAGGAUGCAAGCGUUAUCCGGAAUUAUUGGGCGUUAAGCGUCCGCAGGUGGCUUAAAAAGUCUGCU
Molecule: ribosomal RNA, 426 nt
Filed under: uncultured cyanobacterium
Lineage: Bacteria; Bacillati; Cyanobacteriota
Description: bacterial SSU rRNA
Rfam family: Bacterial small subunit ribosomal RNA
Source: RNAcentral